UGUUUUUUUUUUAGAUAUGACCCUUUCGUCUUGAAUUCCUUGCCUCACAUCUGAAUGAAAUGCUUAUCAGUAUUAAAAAAUAUCACAUCAUAGAUCCAUAUAUAUUGUUCUUUUGGUGAGGGGUAUUCUGUUGUGGUAUUUGGAUUAUUUAUACACAGUUCAGGUAUCUCUUCAAAUUGCUACAAAUCGGUAACUUGUGUAGUGGUCAGAAUUAACCUACAUAAGGGCGGAGUGAAACAAGUUUUAAGUGCAAACGGAGUACUAGCUCUUGCCACUGUUGGGCCUAAUCGGGCUGCCUGCUAGCAUUUCUGUCUUGGCUGCUUGCGACUUGGGCGGCAUGCUGGCUUGUGCUGGUACGGACGGAGAAAUGUCUUUGCUGCUUGCGACUUGGGCGGCAUGCUGGCUUGUGCCAGUACGGACAGAGAAAGGAAUAGGAGUGAGAUUCAGUAAGGUGAGAUGUUGAUAUGUCUUAUGUUUGCAUUGAGACAGCUCUCUCAAGUAAAUGGCACCGGUGGAGAAGAGAGCCCUGUUUUUAUAGAUAUAUGACCCUUUUGUAUUGAAUUCUUCGUCCCACUUCUGAAUGAAAUGCUUAUCAGUAUUAAGCAAUAUCAUAGCACAGAUCCAUAUAUUUUGUUCUUUCGACGAGGUGUAUUCUGUUGCUGUGAGAUAUGGAUUAUUUAUAAAGUUUAGAUCUGUCAAAGUUUGUACAAAGAUGGUAACUUAUGUAGUGGUCAGAAUUAACCUAGACAAGGACAAGGUGAAACGAGUUUUGAGUGCAAAUGAAGUGCCUGCUCUUGCAACUGUUGUGCCUCAGAGGGUGCUGCUUGUUAGCUAUUUCUGUCUUUGCUGCCAGCGACUUGGGCGGCGUGCUGGCUUGUGCCGGUACGGACAAGAGAAAAGGGAAUAUGAGUGAGAUUCAGCCAAGUGAGAUGUUGAUGUGAUGCAUAUACUUCAUCACUUCCUAAACAAAAAUCAUGUACCAAUCUGAUAUUUUCUAUACUUCUUUUCUACCCUCUCCGUUCCAAAGUAAGUGUCACAGUUUUAGUUCGAAGGUUGAUGGUAUCAAACUUCUUUAGUGGCACUUCAUCUCUAGUUAUCAGUUACAGCAUGGUAAAUAUUCCCUCCUAUCUCACAAUAUAAGAGCGUUUUGCAAGCUAACAUAGCUUGCAAAACGCUCUUAUAUUAUGGGACGGAGGGAGUAUUUUACUGGACAGCUCAUUGAAAUAUCGUUUCUUAUUCUGUGAAUGCAAGAUGAUUGUCAAUGGCAUGUCUGUAUUCCGUGAAUGCAAGACCAUUCUCAAAGGCAUGCCGGUUUCCAGCACAUCCUCUUGGUCAGCUGUUGCAGACGAAAUGCCUGCAGCAGAGCAUUCACGAAAAGCCUGCAGCAGAGCAUUCACGAAAAGCCUGCAGCAGAGCAUUCUACUAUGAACCUUAUUGUACCUUUUCAAAAUAAAUUAGUACAAACAUUUGUUAUCUAGCUUCGUCAACCAUUUCUCUCUUUUGUUGCCAUUUGUAAGUCAAGGGUCAAUUCUGCUGUAGCCUGAGUUUUUGAAUGAAAAAUGCUGAAAGGUUUUGAUCAAAUAAGUUUGGCUUGGAAGCCUUGUAAAGCAUGGCAAGGUCUGCUCCAGUAUUUGAUAAUCUUCUGCUCAGCUAGGCACUUAACUAAUGUACUAUCGAAACUGCAUCCUUUCAUGCGAACAUUUCGAAUGGAAAUGCAUUGAUAGCCAUCUCUCUCUUUUGUUGUCAUUUAUAAGUAACGGAUCAAUUGUGCUGUAGCCAGGGUUUGUAAAUGAAAACUUGAAAGGUGUUCAAAGGUUUUGAUGGCUUGGAAGCCUUGGAAAGCAUCGCUAAGGUCAGGUUUUGUAGUUGAUAAUCUUCUGCUCAGCUAGGUAUCUAGAAUUGCCUCCAUUCAUGAUGUAUGUGCAUUUUGAUUUUGACAGUAAAUAUCUUGAUUUCCUACUCAAUAAUUCAAGAUAUCACCUAAGCCUGGCCUAGAUGCAAUUUUUAUUGUAUAUAUUUUGCAGGUUCAGGUUCAGGUUCGGGAAUUAAGAGUGUAUUAAUCAUUAUGUGGAUUAUGGUUUGUUAGUAGUGUUAACAUAUGAUUAUUACUAGUAAGGUGGAGAAGUGCUCUUUAUUACUACUACUUUCCUAAAGUAAUGUAAGAGCGGUUAGGUCACUACUUUAGUGCUCUAAACGCUCUUAUAUUACUUUACAGAGGGAGCAAAUUUUAUUGUAUUUUUUAGUCGCACCACCUGUGCAUCUGUCAGCUUGUCAACAACUAGUUAGGCUGGAUUAGCCUAUCCUAACCCAUCAUACAUUAAUAUCUGCAUCUGAAAAAUAAAAUCAUAUUAACUUGGUAGUCUCUAGUUUAUUCUAUGCAUAUGCCCUUGCUAAUCCUGUGCACAGCGACGAUGGAACUUGAAUUAGCAUUGCGGAGGCAAAGAAGCUUCUGGAAAGAUUGUAAAAAUACUAAGGUGUUGCAAGAGUGCCUGCUGAUGUAUUCUUUUUACCUCUUAAGCCUUGGUUGGAUUGCCGUUUUCGUCUCAAAUACCCCUGUAAAAAAAAUACAGAUCUCUGCCCACCGUUUUGUUUUCAGCUAGAAAUAUACUAGUGACCGGUAAAAUACAGGUGUAAAAUAAAUGCGUCUGUAUUUGAAAAUGGCAAUCCAAGCAAGGCUUUAGGGUUAUGGCCCAUAUCUAUUGAAAUUUGGUAAGUAAUGGUUAUGGCCAUAUCUAUUGAAAUUUGUUAAGUAAUGUGGUCUCAGGAUGAGUACAGCUUGGUUUUUCUCCUGUAAUGUGGUAACAAUGAAUGGUUCAACUGUUUUGCUGUCUGGGAUUUCUUGAUAAUGUCCAGC
RNAcentral lists this long non-coding RNA (2854 nucleotides) under Hordeum vulgare. RNAcentral describes it as "long non-coding RNA (HVUL_LNC021675)". The stretch from base 1115 to 1202 matches the Rfam family "MIR1120/MIR1122 microRNA precursor family". Lineage: Eukaryota; Viridiplantae; Streptophyta; Magnoliopsida; Poales; Poaceae. The record is from RNAcentral.